This 71-nucleotide transfer RNA is filed under the name Kulikovia alborostrata. RNAcentral's name for it is "tRNA-Ser". Lineage: Eukaryota; Metazoa; Nemertea; Pilidiophora; Heteronemertea; Lineidae. The record is from RNAcentral.
AAAACAAACACUGAUUGUUGUAUAGCGGCUUCUAACUGCUGUGUGGGUGGUUUAAUUCCAUUCUUGUUUUA